GGUCAAGCGAUCAAGGGCACAGGGUGGAUGUCUAGGCACGGACUGGCGAUGAAGGACGUGGCAAGCUGCGAUAAGCCAGGGGUAGCUGCAAGCAAGCGUUAAUCCCUGGAUUUCCGAAUGGGGAAACCCGGCCGGGGUGAUGCCCGGUCAUCCCUUCGCUGAAUACAUAGGCGUUGGGAAGCGAACCGAGGGAACUGAAACAUCUAAGUACCUCGAGGAAGAGAAAACAACCGUGAUUCCCUCAGUAGCGGCGAGCGAACGGGGAAGAGCCCAAACCAUGGAGGUGUCAAGGCGGCAGCCGUUGCUUCCAUGGGGUAGCAGGGUGGUUCGUGAGAGUCUGCCGGCUCUCGGAGCGUCGCGCGACGGUGAGUCGAAUCCGUCUGGAAAGCCAAGCCACAGAGGGUGACAGCCCCGUAGGCGAAGCCGACGUCGCGAUCUCUGGACCAUUCCUGAGUAGGUCGGGACACGUGAAAUCCCGAUUGAAUCCGGCAGGACCACCUGCCAAGGCUAAAUACACGUCCGUGACCGAUAGCGAACGAGUACCGUGAGGGAAAGAUGAAAAGUACGCCGGGAGGCGGGUGAAACAGAUCCUGAAACCGUGUGCCUACAAGCGGUGGGAGCUCGACCCUCUCUUCGUGAGAGACGUCGGGUGACCGCGUGCCUUUUGCAUUAUGAUCCGGCGAGUUGUUCCUCAGUAGCGAGGUUAAGCCGUUCAGCGGCGGAGCCGAAGCGAAAGCGAGUCUUAACUGGGCGUAGAGUUGCUGGGGACAGACCCGAAACCAGAGUGAUCUAUCCAUGGCCAGGUUGAAGCGAGGGUAAUGCUUCGUGGAGGACCGAACCGUUGUGGGUUGAAAACUGCUCGGAUGAGCUGUGGAUAGGGGUGAAAGGCCAAUCAAACCUGGAGAUAGCUGGUUCUCCCCGAAAGAUAUUUAGGUAUCGCCUCUGAGUGUAGACUGCGGGAGGUAGAGCACUGGAAGGGCUAGGGCCCUAAACCGGGUACCAACCCCUACUAAACUCCGAAUGCCCGUUAGUUGGUCUCAGGGAGGAAGUGCACGUGCGAUAAUGUUCGUGCGCGAGAGGGAAAGAGCCCAGACCUUCAGCUAAGGUCCCCAAGUGCUAGCUAAGUGACAAAGGUGGUGGAUUUGCGGAGACAACUGGGAGGUUGGCUUAGAAGCAGCCAUCCUUGAAAGAGUGCGUAAUAGCUCACCAGUCAAGCGGAUCUGCGCCGAUAAUGGUCGGGACUCAAGUUAGCCACCGAAGCUAAGGCUGCGCGCAUACGCGCGCGGGGUAGGGGAGCGUUGCCUGAGCCGUGAAGCGGGGCCGGAAGGCUACCCGUGGAGCGCAGGCAAGUGAGAAUGCCGGAAUGAGUACGCGAUAAACAAGGUGAGAACCCUUGUCGCCGUAAGCCCAAGGUUUCCUGAGCCAUGCCAAUCAGCUCAGGGUUAGUCGGCCCCUAAGGUGAGGCCGAGAGGCGUAGCCGAUGGAAAACGGGUCAACAUUCCCGUACCACACGAUACUGCGCUUGAGUCUGCGGAGGGACGCAGAGGUGAAAGGUCCGUCGUUUCCAUGGACAUGAACGAUGUAAGGAGGUAGGCGUUUCCGGGUAGGCAAAUCCGCCCGGUGAAGCCGAGAUCCGAUGCCGAAGAAGUCUUCGGACUUCGCUAAGGGACCGUAAUCGUACUGCCAAGAAAAGCUUCGUGGACGAGGAGUACGUGUGACCGUACCGUAAACCGACACAGGUGGGCGAGGCGAGUAGCCUCAGGCGCUCGAGUGAGUCUUGGUUAAGGAACUCGGCAAAAUGUCCCCGUAACUUCGGGAGAAGGGGAGCCGGCGGUAGGUGACCCUGCCUCGCGCAGGAGAGCCGAAACCGGCCGCAGAGAAUCGGCCCAAGCGACUGUUUAGUAAAAACACAGGUGUCUGCAAAGUCGUCAAGACGACGUAUAGGCACUGACGCCUGCCCGGUGCCGGAAGGUUAAAUGGAAGGGUUAGCUUCGGCGAAGCUCUGAAAUGAAGCCCCGGUAAACGGCGGCCGUAACUAUAACGGUCCUAAGGUAGCGAAAUUC
Molecule: ribosomal RNA, 2063 nt
Filed under: Gemmatimonadota bacterium
Lineage: Bacteria; Pseudomonadati; Gemmatimonadota
Description: Gemmatimonadetes bacterium partial 23S ribosomal RNA
Rfam family: Bacterial large subunit ribosomal RNA
Source: RNAcentral